CCUACGGGAGGCAGCAGUAGGGAAUCUUCCACAAUGGGCGAAAGCCUGAUGGAGCAACGCCGCGUGGGUGAAGAAGGUCUUCGGAUCGUAAAACCCUGUUGUUAGAGAAGAAAGUGCGUGAGAGUAACUGUUCACGUUUUGACGGUAUCUAACCAGAAAGUCACGGCUAACUACGUGCCAGCAGCCGCGGUAAUACGGAGGUGGCCGGCGUUAUCCGGAUUUAUUGGGCUUAAAGGGGGCGCAGGCGGGUGUUUAAGUCGGAGGUUAAAAACUUGGGCUUAACCGAAGCAGGGCAUUGGAAACCGGGGGACGUGAGUGGAGAAGAGGAAAGCGGAACUCGAGGUGUAGCGGUGGAAUGCGUAGAUAUAGGGAAGAACCCCGGUUGCGAAGGCGGCCGUCCGGGGUGCAACUGACGCUGAGGCUCGAAAGUGUGGGUAGCGAACAGGAUUAGAUACCCGGGUAGUC
Molecule: ribosomal RNA, 465 nt
Filed under: uncultured bacterium
Lineage: Bacteria
Description: partial 16S ribosomal RNA
Rfam family: Bacterial small subunit ribosomal RNA
Source: RNAcentral